AUCUAGAGAUAUCAUCAUAUUUCUUCAGCAAAAACGCCAUGGGAGGUCUGAAAACUGCUGGUUUUUCAUACUUUGACAUAUGGUGUUACAAUAAUUUGGCAAGAGAAGCAUUAAGGAAGCGAGAAGAAAAGUACCUGGAGGGAGCAGAUCUCAUUCAUCUCCAACGCGACCGAGAGGGGAGAAGGCCAAGGCAACCAGAUUGAAAAAUCUCCGAAGAAGAUAUGAAAAUAUAAGGGUAGCAGCAAUGACAUACUUUCUUGGAACUUGGUAUCAGUUGGUAAGCUGGUAUAGAGAUUUGAAAAGACAAAAAGUUAAUAGGUACCAGCUAUCUUGAUAGUGACUGGAUUAGGUUUCCAAUUUUUUAUUUCGUUUAUUCUUUAUGUUCUUUGUUUCUCUUGGGCCUUUUAAGUUUUUUGGGCUGUUUCUUCUUUUAUUUGUUUUCUUUAUUCGGGACUUAGUCUCAGAGUUGUAAAGGAGUUUUUAAUUUUGUUUAUUUGUUUAGUUUUAAUAAAAUCCAGUCGCAUUUUUCAAAAAAAAA
This is a long non-coding RNA of Gossypium arboreum, 538 nucleotides long. RefSeq lists it as uncharacterized. The transcript has 2 exons. The record is from RefSeq and is a predicted model, not a curated record. NCBI's taxonomy places the organism in Eukaryota, Viridiplantae, Streptophyta, Magnoliopsida, Malvales, Malvaceae.